AAGUCGUAACAAGGUUUCCGUAGGUGAACCUGCGGAAGGAUCAUUAACACGUAUCCAAACGUUAAAACCCCCCCCGUGAACAUUGAUUCCUGCUCUUGUAACCCGCGAAGCUUGCAAUCUCUGGUAAAUCAUAGCCCGGAAAGUAGUUUUGAUUCAGAGACCUCUGGCCCGUGCGAAAUCACAACAGUUACAAUUCGAGCGGUAGUUCUAUAGGCCUUGUUUCCCCAAGCAGUCAGUGUCUGAAAGUGUCAGUGAUUGUGCAAGGAUAACGCUUCACGAUUCUUGUAGACCGCAUCUCGCGGGCAGGAGCUAGGCCAAAGGGUCCCCGUUAAAUGUGAAGCUCAAUGUAAUACAUUGGGUAAAAAACCGAACAACUGUUAACAAUGGAUAUCUUGGUUCUC
RNAcentral lists this unclassified non-coding RNA (401 nucleotides) under fungal sp. RNAcentral describes it as "partial internal transcribed spacer region". The stretch from base 1 to 46 matches the Rfam family "Eukaryotic small subunit ribosomal RNA", at positions 1786 to 1831 of the family's 1831-position model. The record is from RNAcentral. Lineage: Eukaryota; Fungi.